RNAcentral lists this ribosomal RNA (253 nucleotides) under uncultured bacterium. Its description in RNAcentral is "partial 16S ribosomal RNA". It matches the Rfam family "Bacterial small subunit ribosomal RNA", at positions 524 to 776 of the family's 1533-position model. The record is from RNAcentral.
UACGAAGGGGGCUAGCGUUGCUCGGAUUGACCGGGCGUAAAGGGCGCGCAGGCGGCUCAUGAAGUCUGUGGUGAAAGUCCGGGGCUCAACCUCGGAUCGGCCGUGGCGACUCGUGGGCUGGAGCACUGUAGAGGCGGGUGGAAUUCCGGGUGUAGCGGUGGAAUGCGUAGAGAUCCGGAAGAACACCAGUGGCGAAGGCGGCCCGCUGGGCAGUGGCUGACGCUGAAGCGCGACAGCGUGGGGAGCAAACAGG